Molecule: ribosomal RNA, 301 nt
Filed under: uncultured bacterium
Lineage: Bacteria
Description: partial 16S ribosomal RNA
Rfam family: Bacterial small subunit ribosomal RNA
Source: RNAcentral
CAGCCGCCGCGGUAAUACGAAGGGGGCUAGCGUUGUUCGGAAUUACUGGGCGUAAAGCGCACGUAGGCGGAUAUUUAAGUCAGGGGUGAAGUCCCGCAGCUCAACUGCGGAACAGCCUUUGAUACUGGGUAUCUUGAGUAUGGAAGAGGUAAGUGGAAUUGCGAGUGUAGAGGUGAAAUUCGUAGAUAUUCGCAGGAACACCAGUGGCGAAGGCGGCUUACUGGUCCAUUACUGACGCUGAGGUGCGAAAGCGUGGGGAGCAAACAGGAUUAGAUACCCCAGUAGUCCCUGUCUCUUAUAC